RNAcentral lists this unclassified non-coding RNA (346 nucleotides) under Hevea brasiliensis (rubber tree). Lineage: Eukaryota; Viridiplantae; Streptophyta; Magnoliopsida; Malpighiales; Euphorbiaceae. The record is from RNAcentral.
GUAGGACGUUUCUCCUUUUCAGGAAUGAAGCUUGUACUAGGAGCUGGCAAAUUGCUUGCAAUUGACGUUGUAGGUCCAACUGUAGAAGUUGUUGGAGAUGUUGACCGUCUAAGGGCUAGAGCAACUUGUUNGAGCACUUUGUGGCAGGGGUGGGGCCGGAGGAUAUACCCCGCCAUAUCCACUAUAGCUUGUUCCUCCAUUCACUAGUGGCUGGUGAUGCCCAACCAAGUUCAGUUGAGGCUGCCCAGGGCUGACCAUUGCCCCAGAUUGAUAUACAGUCCCAUGGGAAAAGGCAGAAGUUGUCCCAUGGAUUUCAACUGAAGAAGCUAGAAUACGUGGUGGGGAG